CUAGCGACUUCAGAGUUUGAUCCUGGCUCAGGAUGAACGCUGGCGGCGUGCAUAACACAUUCAAGUCGAACGGAGCAGCAAUGCUUAGUGGCGGACGGGUGAGUAACGCGUGAGCAACCUGCCCCUGUGUGGGGGAUGACGUUUGGAAACGAACGCUAAUACCGCAUAACGCAUCGGAAUCGCAUGUUUCUGAUACCAAAGAUUUAUUGCGCAAGGAUGGGCUCGCGUCUGAUUAGAUAGUUGGUGGGGUAACGGCCUACCAAGUCGACGAUCAGUAGCCGGACUGAGAGGUUGAACGGCCACAUUGGAACUGAGAAACGGUCCAG
RNAcentral lists this ribosomal RNA (326 nucleotides) under uncultured bacterium. RNAcentral's name for it is "bacterial SSU rRNA". It matches the Rfam family "Bacterial small subunit ribosomal RNA", at positions 1 to 334 of the family's 1533-position model. The record is from RNAcentral.